This 234-nucleotide long non-coding RNA is filed under the name Oncorhynchus mykiss (rainbow trout). RNAcentral describes it as "lncRNA (ENSOMYG00000071582.1)". The record is from RNAcentral. Lineage: Eukaryota; Metazoa; Chordata; Actinopteri; Salmoniformes; Salmonidae.
AGACUGAGAUUCCCUCUACUGAUGGACAUUGCAUAGCUCCAGUUGGAGAGGGUUCUCCCUCCAUAUCUCAGCCUGUCAAAAAACGAUCCUUGAUUGUCAGGGUCUUUUCAGCAAUGAUGAAGCCAUUCAGGCGCUUCACCAAGAAGAACCUGUAACCUGUUACGCUGCAUGAAGAACUACUUUUGUAACAGCAAGACUUUUGACAAGAGGAAUUUCUGCAUGUCUAACCUUUCA